GAACGCUAGCUACAGGCUUAACACAUGCAAGUCGAGGGGCAGCAUGGUCUUAGCUUGCUAAGGCCGAUGGCGACCGGCGCACGGGUGAGUAACGCGUAUCCAACCUGCCUUACACUCUUGGACAGCCUUCUGAAAGGGAGAUUAAUACAAGAUGUUAUCAUGAGUAAGCAUUUUCGCAUGAUUAAAGGUUUACCGGUGUAAGAUGGGGAUGCGUUCCAUUAGAUAGUAGGCGGGGUAACGGCCCACCUAGUCUUCGAUGGAUAGGGGUUCUGAGAGGAAGGUCCCCCACAUUGGAACUGAGACACGGUCCAAACUCCUACGGGAGGCAGCAGUGAGGAAUAUUGGUCAAUGGACGAGAGUCUGAACCAGCCAAGUAGCGUGAAGGAUGAAGGUUCUAUGGAUUGUAAACUUCUUUUAUACGGGAAUAAACGGAUCCACGUGUGGAUUUUUGCAUGUACCGUAUGAAUAAGGAUCGGCUAACUCCGUGCCAGCAGCCGCGGUAAUACGGAGGAUCCGAGCGUUAUCCGGAUUUAUUGGGUUUAAAGGGAGCGUAGAUGGGUUGUUAAGUCAGUUGUGAAAGUUUGCGGCUCAACCGUAAAAUUGCAAUUGAUACUGGCAGUCUUGAGUACAGUUGAGGUGGGCGGAAUUCGUGGUGUAGCGGUGAAAUGCUUAGAUAUCACGAAGAACUCCGAUUGCGAAGGCAGCUUACUAACCUGUAACUGACAUUGAUGCUCGAAAGUGUGGGUAUCAAACAGGAUUAGAUACCCUGGUAGUCCACACGGUAAACGAUGAAUACUCGCUGUAGGCGAUAUACAGUCUGCGGCCAAGCGAAAGCAUUAAGUAUUCCACCUGGGGAGUACGCCGGCAACGGUGAAACUCAAAGGAAUUGACGGGGGCCCGCACAAGCGGAGGAACAUGUGGUUUAAUUCGAUGAUACGCGAGGAACCUUACCCGGGCUUAAAUUGCAACCGAAUAUGGCGGAAACGCUAUAGCUAGCAAUAGCGGUUGUGAAGGUGCUGCAUGGUUGUCGUCAGCUCGUGCCGUGAGGUGUCGGCUUAAGUGCCAUAACGAGCGCAACCCUUGCCGAUAGUUACUAACAGGUCAUGCUGAGGACUCUGUCGGGACUGCCAUCGUAAGAUGUGAGGAAGGUGGGGAUGACGUCAAAUCAGCACGGCCCUUACGUCCGGGGCUACACACGUGUUACAAUGGGGGGUACAGAGGGCUGCUACCACGCAAGUGGAUGCCAAUCCCAAAAACCUCUCUCAGUUCGGAUUGAAGUCUGCAACCCGACUUCAUGAAGCUGGAUUCGCUAGUAAUCGCGCAUCAGCCACGGCGCGGUGAAUACGUUCCCGGGCCUUGUACACACCGCCCGUCAAGCCAUGGGAGCCGGGGGUACCUGAAGUGCGUAACCGCAAGGAGCGCCCUAGGGUAAAACUGGAGACU
This 1443-nucleotide ribosomal RNA is filed under the name uncultured organism. RNAcentral describes it as "SSU rRNA". It matches the Rfam family "Bacterial small subunit ribosomal RNA". The record is from RNAcentral.